This is a long non-coding RNA of Acanthochromis polyacanthus (spiny chromis), 685 nucleotides long. RefSeq lists it as uncharacterized. The record is from RefSeq and is a predicted model, not a curated record. The transcript is spliced from 2 exons. Lineage: Eukaryota; Metazoa; Chordata; Actinopteri; Pomacentridae.
CACAAAAGGACAAUGUUCGCAUUACUGCAUUCAGCAAAUAGUAACAACCAUUCCUCAUGGACAUUUUCACCACAUUGGCAAAUGCUACUCCACUCACUUUAUGUUUGUCAACCUCAACACCACAUAAACUGAAGCGACAAAUCAUGGCAUGAGCAAUAUUCAACCCAAUACUAUACCACACAUGAAUUUAUCUGCAUUCUAAAGAGUUAAUUUUAAAUCACAGUUUAAAAAAUUACUCUGAGGAUUUUUAUUAAAAUUUUUUAACCAUUUUAUACUUUUUACUUCAUGGUUUUAAAAUUAUUUUAAGUGCAUAAAGUGCUUUUAAAGUGCAAUCCUUUCCAGAUCCAAUAAAUAAAUAAAGGGCAUCGUAAAAACCCACCAUUACAAACAGGAUGAAUUCACUGGUCUUAGCUGGAACCCUCUAAUUAGCACCAGAGCCCUAGAGACAGUAAGAGUUGCGACACUCCCAUAGGGUGCCGUUGUACGCUUUCUUUCGGUCUACUUCCGGGUUGUGGAGGCUUGUUUAGUUCCAAGCACGGCUUCGACAGUGAUAGCCAGCGUUCAUUUGCACUGCAGGUCGUUGAGUAUAUGUGGAGUAUCCCGAGAGCCCUCACUGAAGACACGAAGACCCUCAUUGUUUCUCCCAUUGUCAAUAAAACAUACUAUUUCAUUCAUCAAAGCAUAA